CCUACGGGAGGCAGCAGUGGGGAAUUUUGGACAAUGGGCGCAAGCCUGAUCCAGCAAUGCCGCGUGAGUGAAGAAGGCCUUCGGGUUGUAAAGCUCUUUUGUCAGGGAAGAAACGGUGGGAGCUAAUAUCUCCUACUAAUGACGGUACCUGAAGAAUAAGCACCGGCUAACUACGUGCCAGCAGCCGCGGUAAUACGUAGGGUGCAAGCGUUAAUCGGAAUUACUGGGCGUAAAGCGUGCGCAGGCGGUUUUGUAAGUCUGUCGUGAAAGCCCCGGGCUCAACCUGGGAAUUGCGAUGGAGACUGCAAGGCUUGAAUCUGGCAGAGGGGGGUAGAAUUCCACGUGUAGCAGUGAAAUGCGUAGAGAUGUGGAGGAACACCGAUGGCGAAGGCAGCCCCCUGGGUCAAGAUUGACGCUCAUGCACGAAAGCGUGGGGAGCAAACAGGAUUAGAUACCCUGGUAGUCCACGCCCUAAACGAUGUCUACUAGUUGUCGGGUUUUAAUUAACUUGGUAACGCAGCUAACGCGUGAAGUAGACCGCCUGGGGAGUACGGUCGCAAGAUUAAAACNCAAAGGAAUUGACGG
This 585-nucleotide ribosomal RNA is filed under the name uncultured bacterium. Its description in RNAcentral is "bacterial SSU rRNA". It matches the Rfam family "Bacterial small subunit ribosomal RNA", at positions 338 to 916 of the family's 1533-position model. The record is from RNAcentral.